RNAcentral lists this long non-coding RNA (686 nucleotides) under Drosophila guanche. The record is from RNAcentral. Lineage: Eukaryota; Metazoa; Arthropoda; Insecta; Diptera; Drosophilidae.
GCAAGGCUUUGAAGUUCCAAUCAGUUAAGGGUAAGCCGGAUUUUAGAAAGUGAGAAAGGAAAGGAAAAUUGUUGUGUAUUCGGCAUGUGAAAAAGGCCAGAACUAGUCGGAUAAAUAACCUAGCGAAAACCAUAAAAAGAGAGCAAAAAAUUCCAAACUAGGCUUCCACAACUUUGAAGUAGCCAGAAUGAAGACCAAUUGUUCCCAUGGCAGAGCUGCCUGUUUGCGGUGAAAAAACAGUCAGAAAGUGUGGAGUGGAAAGAGCUUAAAUAUUCUUCAAGAAAGAGAUUAGAAUAACUGCAGUGGAAAGUAGCUGGAGCUGUGCUGAGAGCUUAUAAAGCUUACCUUAGAUAAGCCAAGUUGCUUUCAGCUUUGGUGUGCGCGAGCCCCUCAGUUUGUCGACCCAUCUGUACCUCCUGCACUGACAAACGCAUUAGCUGGAACCACCCGCUAAAAUGUUUCACGAACUAAUCCGCUGCGUCAACAGAUAAGUGAAAUAUCGAAAGUACAUUCGACACGCCCAAGUAAUAAUUGCCAUCAGCAGGCCAAAGUGCCAAAAAUGAUUUAGGGUUAUUUUUUAUUCUGUUCAAAUUACAAAUUAUCACCUUGGCUUGCUUUUGCUUCUCUCUUUUUUAUAUCCUCCUUCGAUAUUUGCUAAUUAGGGGGCCAGCGAAGAAAUGUGUCAG